CUGGAACGCGCCCCAGGCGCACCCAGAAACCCUUUGUGAACUUAUACCUUACUGUUGCCUCGGCGCUAGCUGGUCCUCCGGGGCCCCUCACCCCCGGGUGUUGAGACAGCCCGCCGGCGGCCAACCCAACUCUUGUUUUUACACUGAAACUCUGAGAAUAAAACAUAAAUGAAUCAAAACUUUCAACAACGGAUCUCUUGGUUCUGGCAUCGAUGAAGAACGCAGCGAAAUGCGAUAAGUAAUGUGAAUUGCAGAAUUCAGUGAAUCAUCGAAUCUUUGAACGCACAUUGCGCCCUCUGGUAUUCCGGAGGGCAUGCCUGUUCGAGCGUCAUUUCAACCCUCAAGCCUGGCUUGGUGAUGGGGCACUGCUUCUUACCCAAGAAGCAGGCCCUGAAAUUCAGUGGCGAGCUCGCCAGGACCCCGAGCGCAGUAGUUAAACCCUCGCUCUGGAAGGCCCUGGCGGUGCCCUGCCGUUAAACCCCCAACUUCUGAAAAU
Molecule: ribosomal RNA, 496 nt
Filed under: Diaporthe sp. Lc011
Lineage: Eukaryota; Fungi; Ascomycota; Sordariomycetes; Diaporthales; Diaporthaceae
Description: eukaryotic LSU rRNA
Rfam family: 5.8S ribosomal RNA (bases 178-331)
Source: RNAcentral